GACGAACGCUGGCGGCGUGCUUAACACAUGCAAGUCGAGCGGUAAGGCUCCUUCGGGAGUACACGAGCGGCGAACGGGUGAGUAACACGUGAGCAAUCUGCCCAUCUCUUUGGAAUAAGCGUUGGAAACGACGUCUAAUGCCGAAUACGACCUCCUUUCGCAUGAUCGGAGGUGGAAAGCUCCGGCGGAGAUGGAUGAGCUCGCGGCCUAUCAGCUAGUUGGGAGGUAACGGCCCACCAAGGCGACGACGGGUAGCCGGCCUGAGAGGGUGACCGGCCACACUGGGACUGAGACACGGCCCAGACUCCUACGGGAGGGCAGCAGUGGGGAAUAUUGGACAAUGGGCGAAAGCCUGAUCCAGCAACGCCGCGUGAGGGAUGACGGCCU
RNAcentral lists this ribosomal RNA (387 nucleotides) under uncultured bacterium. Its description in RNAcentral is "bacterial SSU rRNA". It matches the Rfam family "Bacterial small subunit ribosomal RNA", at positions 28 to 417 of the family's 1533-position model. The record is from RNAcentral.